CGCCCAGAACGGUUGGAAGAGCCUUCAGUUCCAGAUGCUACUGAGAGAAUGAAGGUUACUUGUAGUUUGGUUCUGGGUAAUAGGAGCAGCCGGGCUCGGAAAUUGUUUUCAAUUCAAACAUUUAUUAAGCACCUCCAGUAUGCAGAGACCUAGGAGAUGGGAAGGGGCUGCCAUGACCAGUGAGAACAGCGGGCAAGGGGCCCUCGAGGACCCAGUGAGAUAUGGUGCAGGCCCCAGUCGUGCGAUCAGUACAGAUGUGUCCAGUGGGUGGAAGCAAAGGGGCUGGGGGAAGGUCUGCAGGGCCAGGAACGGGACCAGAAGGACUUGGAUGGGGGCUGGUGGUGGCCCCUGGCACGGGAGGCAGAUGCCGUGUCCCCAGGGGGGGGAGAGCUGGGCCCACCUUGGGGGCAGGAACGACUUCUGCCACGGUGUGCCAUUAAUCCUGUGGGAGGUUGGGUCCAGGUGGGCUUUCGGCAGGUAGUGAGGCAGCUGAGAAGGGGAGGGGCCAGAUGGGGGAUGAGAAUAAAGGCAGAGCAUGGACUUAAGGCAGGGGCCUUGGGGGUCAUGAGUCUCGUCCCCCAUUUACAGUUAAGGCUGAGGCCCAGGGGGAGGAGUCUGGGACUCCUGUGCCCUGCUGCUUGUGGCACUUUGGAGGGCAUCUGGUCAGCUGCCUUGUUGCUAGACACAGGAAGCGAAUGUGGGCGCCUCUUGGGGGGCCUACGAAUGUGGGCGUAUCUCUUGGGGGAUACGUAAGAGCCGGAGGCAUGUCCUGGGUGACGUGAGGGUGGCUGCCCAGGGGCACUGAGGGGACGGCUCCCUCCGGGCCAGUAUCCGGCCAGCACAUCUCCCAGAAUGCCUCGGGUACAACUGCUGGGGCCUUGGAUAACUGAGCGUUUCAAUGGCCUCAGAACCCAGAGUGGGGCUUUGGCUGGAUGCUGGGGGAGGGGGGGAAGUCUGCCCCCAAAGGCUGGGAGGUCGGAGGGUGGGUGGGGCAAGCUGAUGCUGAAAGGAGAGGCUUGGGGCCAAGUCCAGGCUUGGGGACCCAACCUCGUCCUACAGAUGGGGAAGAUGGGGCCCAGAGAGGAAAGUGGCUGUCACAUCCUCGGGUAACCCCCAAACAAGCCUAAGCUGAAUGACCAAGUCAUGGGCGCCAAGCUGGGCCCCUCCAGGGUGGAUGGAGGAGUGGGGGUGGACAGCCUCGGAGCCAAGGACCCUGAACCUCUGGCUCCCGGGGCCUCUGCAGCGUCUUUAAACAGCUUGCACAACUCGCCAUCGCCCCGCCCAGAGCCACUCAUUGGUAAAGUCCAAGCCUGGUCUGGCCGGGGACCUGAGGGGCCCCCAAAAGGGACAAGGCAGCUCCCAUGGGGGACAGAAGAACACCCCAAAGAGGGAAAAGGGUCUUCUCCAGAUCACACUGCGAGAGACCCCAGAGACGAGGCUCCCUCUCCUCUCAGGAUCCUGGAGCUGGCAGGGACCUAAGGGGGGGCCAGCCCACCCCUCAUUCACAGAUGAGCAAACUGAGGCCCCAGAUAGUCAAGCACUUGCCCAAGGUCUCACUUGUUUUGUCAGAGAUGAGAUUGGAGUAGGGGCCUCUGCUCCAGAGCUAGUGCUUCCGGGCCCCAAAUCCCACUCCCCAAGCCCCACCCCAGGCCUCCUGGGCGUUCUGACCAGUCAGGGCUCCCCCUGCCACGUCCGAGGGCUCGGGGUCCACGGGUUUCACAUCCACCUCGCCUGUCCUCGAUGCCAGCCGGGAGUCGGUGGGGUUUCAGCACCCCCAUCCAUCUCCUUCCACCUCGUUCCCAGCAUUGAACACUUGCCAAACAUCAGAGGGACUGUAAGGGGCCAUCCAGACCAGCCCCCCAAAAGGACCAGGCUGGGCACAGCCCGGGAAAGAAAGGACUUCCUGCCCCCACAAACGUUCAUCAGCCGUGGCCUCUAGGGGCUGUGAGACAUUCUGGGCCGCAUACAAGGGCAGGGGUCCCGGGAGGUUCCUCCUGGCUCUUGGGGGUCUGGACCCAUCAUAGCCCCUCCCCAGGGCAGCGUCUUAAACACUGUGAUCAUCAGAGCUUCUCUCCCACGGUGGGAUGGCAGGCUACGGGCAUUGUACAGAUGAGCAAGUGGGCUCGGGGCUUAAAUGGGCCCACGACUGGGACUCCUCAGAGGGAGGGUUUGGAUCCAGCCUUUGUGACACCGUGUCCAGGACGGAAAAGGCUGGACAUCCCUGUGCUGAGGACCCUCCCAGCUCUGAUACCCUGGGUUCUAAGGGCCCUCCCAGCCCCAACAUCCCCUGUUCUAAGCUUCUUCCCAGCCCUGACACCCACUGUUCUAAGGGCCCUCCCAGCUCUGAUACCUUGGGUUCUAAGGGCCCUCCCAGCCCUGAUAUUCUCUGUUCUAAGGCUCCUUCCCAGCCCUGCCGGUCCCUGUUCUAAGGGUCCUUCCCAGCCCUGACGGUCCCUGUUCUAAGGGUCCUUCCCAGCCCUGAUGAUCCCUGUUGCAAGGGCCCUUUAUACUCCAUCGUAUGCUGUCUUAGAACACUCCACCUGACACUACUGUUCUGUGACUUUGGAACCUUACAUUUAUCUAGUCCAACUGGGCAAAGGAACAGACCCAAAGUAACGUGACCUGCCCAAGAUCACAUCGGGCAUGAAGUGGCCCCAGAAGAACCAAGGGCUUGCUAGUUCUUGGGCCACAAG
RNAcentral lists this long non-coding RNA (2693 nucleotides) under Sarcophilus harrisii (Tasmanian devil). RNAcentral's name for it is "lncRNA (ENSSHAG00000024450.1)". Lineage: Eukaryota; Metazoa; Chordata; Mammalia; Dasyuromorphia; Dasyuridae. The record is from RNAcentral.